UGAUUUCGAGUUUCGGUAUAGUCCGGCA
Molecule: non-coding RNA, 28 nt
Filed under: Bombyx mori (domestic silkworm)
Lineage: Eukaryota; Metazoa; Arthropoda; Insecta; Lepidoptera; Bombycidae
Source: RNAcentral